CAGCCCGCGGUAAAACGGAGGGUGCAAGCGUUAAUCGGAAUUACUGGGCGUAAAGCGCACGCAGGCGGUCUGACAAGUCAGAUGUGAAAUCCCCGGGCUUAACCUGGGAACUGCAUUUGAAACUGUCAGGCUGGAGUCUUGUAGAGGGGGGUGGAAUUCCAGGUGUAGCGGUGAAAUGCGUAGAGAUCUGGAGGAAUACCGGUGGCGAAGGCGGCCCCCUGGACAAAGACUGACGCUCAGGUGCGAAAGCGUGGGGAGCAAACAGGAUUAGAUACCCGUGUAGUCCCUGUCUCUUAUACAC
Molecule: ribosomal RNA, 301 nt
Filed under: uncultured bacterium
Lineage: Bacteria
Description: partial 16S ribosomal RNA
Rfam family: Bacterial small subunit ribosomal RNA
Source: RNAcentral